RNAcentral lists this small RNA (29 nucleotides) under Bombyx mori (domestic silkworm). RNAcentral describes it as "ovarian small RNA-27113". The record is from RNAcentral. Lineage: Eukaryota; Metazoa; Arthropoda; Insecta; Lepidoptera; Bombycidae.
UCCAUUUAGCCGAAGGGACUGCGAGUCUG